This 496-nucleotide ribosomal RNA is filed under the name uncultured soil bacterium. Its description in RNAcentral is "bacterial SSU rRNA". It matches the Rfam family "Bacterial small subunit ribosomal RNA", at positions 26 to 513 of the family's 1533-position model. The record is from RNAcentral.
AGAGUGAACGCUGGCGGCAGGCCUAACACAUGCAAGUCGAACGGCAGCACAGGGGAGCUUGCUCCCUGGGUGGCGAGUGGCGGACGGGUGAGGAAAACGUCGGAAUCUGCCUAUUUGUGGGGGAUAACGUAGGGAAACUUACGCUAAUACCGCAUACGACCUACGGGAGAAAGCGGGGGACCUUCGGGCCUCGCGCCAUUAGAUGAGCCUAGGUCGGAUUAGCUAGUUGGUGAGGUAAUGGCUCACCAAGGCGACGAUCCGUAACUGGUCUGAGAGGAUGAUCAGUCACACUGGAACUGAGACACGGUCCAGACUCCUACGGGAGCAGCAGUGGGGAAUAUUGGACAAUGGGCGAAAGCCUGAUCCAGCAUGCCGCGUGUGUAGAAGAAGGUCUUCGGAUUGUAAAGCUACUUAAGGUGGUAAGGAAGGGUUGUAACUUAAUACGUUGACAAUUUAGACGUUACCGACAGUAAUAAGCACGCUAACUCGUGCAGCA